This 2549-nucleotide ribosomal RNA is filed under the name Escherichia coli KTE98. RNAcentral describes it as "bacterial LSU rRNA". It matches the Rfam family "Bacterial large subunit ribosomal RNA", at positions 398 to 2925 of the family's 2925-position model. The record is from RNAcentral. Lineage: Bacteria; Pseudomonadati; Pseudomonadota; Gammaproteobacteria; Enterobacterales; Enterobacteriaceae.
UGUGAGCUCGAUGAGUAGGGCGGGACACGUGGUAUCCUGUCUGAAUAUGGGGGGACCAUCCUCCAAGGCUAAAUACUCCUGACUGACCGAUAGUGAACCAGUACCGUGAGGGAAAGGCGAAAAGAACCCCGGCGAGGGGAGUGAAAAAGAACCUGAAACCGUGUACGUACAAGCAGUGGGAGCCUCUUUUAUGGGGUGACUGCGUACCUUUUGUAUAAUGGGUCAGCGACUUAUAUUCUGUAGCAAGGUUAACCGAAUAGGGGAGCCGAAGGGAAACCGAGUCUUAACUGGGCGUUAAGUUGCAGGGUAUAGACCCGAAACCCGGUGAUCUAGCCAUGGGCAGGUUGAAGGUUGGGUAACACUAACUGGAGGACCGAACCGACUAAUGUUGAAAAAUUAGCGGAUGACUUGUGGCUGGGGGUGAAAGGCCAAUCAAACCGGGAGAUAGCUGGUUCUCCCCGAAAGCUAUUUAGGUAGCGCCUCGUGAAUUCAUCUCCGGGGGUAGAGCACUGUUUCGGCAAGGGGGUCAUCCCGACUUACCAACCCGAUGCAAACUGCGAAUACCGGAGAAUGUUAUCACGGGAGACACACGGCGGGUGCUAACGUCCGUCGUGAAGAGGGAAACAACCCAGACCGCCAGCUAAGGUCCCAAAGUCAUGGUUAAGUGGGAAACGAUGUGGGAAGGCCCAGACAGCCAGGAUGUUGGCUUAGAAGCAGCCAUCAUUUAAAGAAAGCGUAAUAGCUCACUGGUCGAGUCGGCCUGCGCGGAAGAUGUAACGGGGCUAAACCAUGCACCGAAGCUGCGGCAGCGACGCUUAUGCGUUGUUGGGUAGGGGAGCGUUCUGUAAGCCUGCGAAGGUGUGCUGUGAGGCAUGCUGGAGGUAUCAGAAGUGCGAAUGCUGACAUAAGUAACGAUAAAGCGGGUGAAAAGCCCGCUCGCCGGAAGACCAAGGGUUCCUGUCCAACGUUAAUCGGGGCAGGGUGAGUCGACCCCUAAGGCGAGGCCGAAAGGCGUAGUCGAUGGGAAACAGGUUAAUAUUCCUGUACUUGGUGUUACUGCGAAGGGGGGACGGAGAAGGCUAUGUUGGCCGGGCGACGGUUGUCCCGGUUUAAGCGUGUAGGCUGAUUUUCCAGGCAAAUCCGGAAAAUCAAGGCUGAGGCGUGAUGACGAGGCACUACGGUGCUGAAGCAACAAAUGCCCUGCUUCCAGGAAAAGCCUCUAAGCAUCAGGUAACAUCAAAUCGUACCCCAAACCGACACAGGUGGUCAGGUAGAGAAUACCAAGGCGCUUGAGAGAACUCGGGUGAAGGAACUAGGCAAAAUGGUGCCGUAACUUCGGGAGAAGGCACGCUGAUAUGUAGGUGAAGUCCCUCGCGGAUGGAGCUGAAAUCAGUCGAAGAUACCAGCUGGCUGCAACUGUUUAUUAAAAACACAGCACUGUGCAAACACGAAAGUGGACGUAUACGGUGUGACGCCUGCCCGGUGCCGGAAGGUUAAUUGAUGGGGUUAGCGGUAACGCGAAGCUCUUGAUCGAAGCCCCGGUAAACGGCGGCCGUAACUAUAACGGUCCUAAGGUAGCGAAAUUCCUUGUCGGGUAAGUUCCGACCUGCACGAAUGGCGUAAUGAUGGCCAGGCUGUCUCCACCCGAGACUCAGUGAAAUUGAACUCGCUGUGAAGAUGCAGUGUACCCGCGGCAAGACGGAAAGACCCCGUGAACCUUUACUAUAGCUUGACACUGAACAUUGAGCCUUGAUGUGUAGGAUAGGUGGGAGGCUUUGAAGUGUGGACGCCAGUCUGCAUGGAGCCGACCUUGAAAUACCACCCUUUAAUGUUUGAUGUUCUAACGUUGGCCCGUAAUCCGGGUUGCGGACAGUGUCUGGUGGGUAGUUUGACUGGGGCGGUCUCCUCCUAAAGAGUAACGGAGGAGCACGAAGGUUGGCUAAUCCUGGUCGGACAUCAGGAGGUUAGUGCAAUGGCAUAAGCCAGCUUGACUGCGAGCGUGACGGCGCGAGCAGGUGCGAAAGCAGGUCAUAGUGAUCCGGUGGUUCUGAAUGGAAGGGCCAUCGCUCAACGGAUAAAAGGUACUCCGGGGAUAACAGGCUGAUACCGCCCAAGAGUUCAUAUCGACGGCGGUGUUUGGCACCUCGAUGUCGGCUCAUCACAUCCUGGGGCUGAAGUAGGUCCCAAGGGUAUGGCUGUUCGCCAUUUAAAGUGGUACGCGAGCUGGGUUUAGAACGUCGUGAGACAGUUCGGUCCCUAUCUGCCGUGGGCGCUGGAGAACUGAGGGGGGCUGCUCCUAGUACGAGAGGACCGGAGUGGACGCAUCACUGGUGUUCGGGUUGUCAUGCCAAUGGCACUGCCCGGUAGCUAAAUGCGGAAGAGAUAAGUGCUGAAAGCAUCUAAGCACGAAACUUGCCCCGAGAUGAGUUCUCCCUGACUCCUUGAGAGUCCUGAAGGAACGUUGAAGACGACGACGUUGAUAGGCCGGGUGUGUAAGCGCAGCGAUGCGUUGAGCUAACCGGUACUAAUGAACCGUGAGGCUUAACCUU